UAACCUGCCCAAGAGAUCGGGAUAACACCUGGAAACAGAUGCUAAUACCGGAUAACAACAGAUGAUGCCUAUCAACUGUUUAAAAGAUGGUUCUGCUAUCACUCUUGGAUGGACCUGCGGUGCAUUAGCUAGUUGGUAGGGUAACGGCCUACCAAGGCGAUGAUGCAUAGCCGAGUUGAGAGACUGAUCGGCCACAUUGGGACUGANACACGGCCCAAACUCCUACGGGAGGCAGCAGGC
RNAcentral lists this ribosomal RNA (240 nucleotides) under uncultured Lactobacillus sp. RNAcentral describes it as "partial 16S ribosomal RNA". It matches the Rfam family "Bacterial small subunit ribosomal RNA", at positions 122 to 354 of the family's 1533-position model. The record is from RNAcentral. Lineage: Bacteria; Bacillati; Bacillota; Bacilli; Lactobacillales; Lactobacillaceae.